CCUACGGGCGGCAGCAGUGAGGAAUAUUGGUCAAUGGACGAAAGUCUGAACCAGCCAUGCCGCGUGCAGGAAGACGGCUCUAUGAGUUGUAAACUGCUUUUGUACGGGAGUAAACGCAGGUACGCGUAUCUGUCUGAAAGUAUCGUACGAAUAAGGAUCGGCUAACUCCGUGCCAGCAGCCGCGGUAAUACGGAGGAUUCGAGCGUUAUCCGGAUUUAUUGGGUUUAAAGGGUGCGUAGGCGGUCGGAUAAGUUAGUGGUGAAAUCCCGAGGCUCAACUGUGGAAUUGCCUUUGAUACUGGUCGUCUUGAGAGCAGUUGCGGUAGGCGGAAUGUAUGGUGUAGCGGUGAAAUGCUUAGAGAUCAUACAGAACCCCGAUUGCGAAGGCAGCUUACCAAGCUAUUACUGACGUUGAGGCACGAAAGCGUGGGGAUCAAACAGGAUUAGAUACCCGAGUAGUC
This 460-nucleotide ribosomal RNA is filed under the name uncultured bacterium. RNAcentral's name for it is "partial 16S ribosomal RNA". It matches the Rfam family "Bacterial small subunit ribosomal RNA", at positions 338 to 795 of the family's 1533-position model. The record is from RNAcentral.